AGAGUUUGAUCCUGGCUCAGAUUGAACGCGGCGGCAUGCCUUACACAUGCAAGAUUGAACGGCAGCGCGGGGCAACCUGGCGGCGAGGUGGCGAACGGGUGAGUAAUAUAUCGGAACGUACCCUGGAGUGGGGGAUAACGUAGCGAAAGUUACGCUAAUACCGCAUACGAUCUAAGGAUGAAAGUGGGGGAUCGCAAGACCUCAUGCUCCUGGAGCGGCCGAUAUCUGAUUAGCUAGUUGGUAGGGUAAAAGCCUACCAAGGCAUCGAUCAGUAGCUGGUCUGAGAGGACGACCAGCCACACUGGAACUGAGACACGGUCCAGACUCCUACGGGAGGCAGCAGUGGGGAAUUUUGGACAAUGGGCGCAAGCCUGAUCCAGCAAUGCCGCGUGAGUGAAGAAGGCCUUCGGGUUGUAAAGCUCUUUUGUCAGGGAAGAAACGGUGAAGGCUAAUAUCUUUUGCUAAUGACGGUACCUGAAGAAUAAGCACCGGCUAACUACGUGCCAGCAGCCGCGGUAAUAC
This 522-nucleotide ribosomal RNA is filed under the name Duganella zoogloeoides. RNAcentral's name for it is "bacterial SSU rRNA". It matches the Rfam family "Bacterial small subunit ribosomal RNA", at positions 8 to 526 of the family's 1533-position model. The record is from RNAcentral. Lineage: Bacteria; Pseudomonadati; Pseudomonadota; Betaproteobacteria; Burkholderiales; Oxalobacteraceae.